This 1366-nucleotide ribosomal RNA is filed under the name uncultured bacterium. RNAcentral's name for it is "bacterial SSU rRNA". It matches the Rfam family "Bacterial small subunit ribosomal RNA", at positions 28 to 1381 of the family's 1533-position model. The record is from RNAcentral.
GAUUAACGCUGGCGGCGUGCCUAACACAUGCAAGUCGAGCGGCAGCGAGUUUUACACUGAAUUCUGGAAGCUUCUAGUUGAAAGAGAAGAUUUAUUCAAGAAUUUUGUGUAAAAUGUCGGCGAGCGGCGGACGGCUGAGUAACGCGUGGGAACGUACCCCAAAGUGAGGGAUAACGCAUCGAAAGGUGUGCUAAUACCGCAUAUGGUCUUCGGAUUAAAGCCUUCGGGCGCUUUGGGAACGGCCUGCGUAAGAUUAGAUAGUUGGUGGGGUAAUGGCCUACCAAGUCGACGAUCUUUAACUGGUUUGAGAGGAUGAUCAGUCAGACUGGAACUGAGACACGGUCCAGACUCCUACGGGAGGCAGCAGUGAGGAAUCUUCCACAAUGGGCGAAAGCCUGAUGGAGCAACGCCGCGUGCAAGAUGAAAGCCUUCGGGUUGUAAACUGCUUUUAUAAGUGAGGAUUAUGACAGUAACUUAUGAAUAAAGAUCGGCUAACUACGUGCCCAGCAGCCGCGGGCAUACGUAGGAUCCGAGCGUUAUCCGGAGUGACUGGGCGUAAAGAGUUGCGUAAGUGGUUCAAUAAGCGAAUAGUGAAAGCUGGUGGCUCAACCAUUCAGAUUAUUAUUCGAACUGUUGAACUCGAGAGCAGAAGAGGUAGCUGGAAUUUCUAGUGUAGGAGUGAAAUCCGUAGAUAUUAGAAGGAACACCGAUGGCGUAGGCAGGCUACUGGGCUGUUUCUGACACUGAGGCACGAAAGCGUGGGGAGCGAACCGGAUUAGAUACCCGGGUAGUCCACGCCGUAAACGAUGGAUACUAGCUGUUUGGGGUAUCGACCCCCUGAGUAGCGAAGCUAACGCGUUAAGUAUCCCGCCUGUGGAGUACGAUCGCAAGAUUAAAACAUAAAGGAAUUGACGGGGACCCGCACAAGCGGUGGAUCAUGUUCUUUAAUUCGAUGAUAACCGAUAAACCUUACCAGGUCUUGACAUCCUUGGAAUCUUUCAGAAAUGAGAGAGUGCUUUUUAAGAGCCAAGUGACAGGUGAUGCAUGGCCGUCGUCAGCUCGUGUCGUGAGAUGUUUGGUUAAGUCCAUCAACGAGCGCAACCCUUGUCAGUAGUUGUAUUUUUCUACUGAGACUGCCCCGGUAACGGGGAGGAAGGAGGGGAUGACGUCAGGUCAGUAUUUCCCUUACGUCCUGGGCUAGAAACGUGAUACAAUGGCUAGUACAAUGCGCAGCGAAGCCGCGAGGUGAAGCAAAUCGCAUCAAAGCUAGUCCCAGUUCGGAUUGUAGGCUGAAACUCGCCUGCAUGAAGUCGGAAUCGCUAGUAAUCGCAGAUCAGCAUGCUGCGGUGAAUACGUUCCCGGGUCU